RNAcentral lists this ribosomal RNA (403 nucleotides) under uncultured bacterium. RNAcentral's name for it is "partial 16S ribosomal RNA". It matches the Rfam family "Bacterial small subunit ribosomal RNA", at positions 28 to 526 of the family's 1533-position model. The record is from RNAcentral.
GACGAACGCUGGCGGCGUGCCUAAUACAUGCAAGUCGAACGCAGUGGGGACGGGUGAGUAACACGUGGGUAACCUCCCCUCAGAGGGGAUAACACUUGGAAACAGGUGCUAAAACGAUACUGAUGGAUGGAACCGCGGUGCAUUAGCUCGUUGGUGAGGUAACGGCUAACCAAGGCAACGAUGCAUAGCCGCCGUGAGAGGGUGAUCGGCCCCACUGGGACUGAGCCACGGCCCAGACUCCUACGGGUGGCAGCAUUAGGGAAUCUUCGGCAAUGUACGAAAGUCUGACCGAGCAACGCCGAGUGAGUGAAGAAGUUUUUCGGAUCGUAAAACUCUGUUGUUAGAGAAGCGGUAUCUAACCAGAAAGCCACGGCUAACUACGUGCCAGCCGCCGCGGUAAUUC